RNAcentral lists this signal recognition particle RNA (286 nucleotides) under Octodon degus (degu). Its description in RNAcentral is "Metazoan signal recognition particle RNA (ENSODEG00000025823.1)". It matches the Rfam family "Metazoan signal recognition particle RNA". Rfam says of the family: The signal recognition particle (SRP) is a universally conserved ribonucleoprotein. It is involved in the co-translational targeting of proteins to membranes. Lineage: Eukaryota; Metazoa; Chordata; Mammalia; Rodentia; Octodontidae. The record is from RNAcentral.
GCUGAGCAUUGUGGCACUUGCCUGUAGUCCUAGCUACUAAGGAGUCUGAGGUUAGAAGACCGCGUGAGUUCAGGAGUUCUGGGCUGCAGUGUGCUAUAGCAUUCGGGUGUCUGCACUAAGUUUAGCAUCAAUAUGGUGACCUGGGAGCGGAGGACCACCAGGCUGCCUGAGGAGGAGUGAACCAGCCCAGGCUGGAAACAGAGCAAGUCAAAGCUCCCAUGCUGAUCAACCAUAAAAGAGACCAACAGGCCAAUCUCCCUAAGCAACAUAGAUGAAAAAAUCUUCA